RNAcentral lists this ribosomal RNA (331 nucleotides) under uncultured eukaryote. RNAcentral's name for it is "partial 18S ribosomal RNA". It matches the Rfam family "Eukaryotic small subunit ribosomal RNA", at positions 1470 to 1796 of the family's 1831-position model. The record is from RNAcentral.
CCCUUAGAUGUUCGGAGCUGCACGCGCGCUACACUGAAGGAAGCAGCGUGUUAGGGCACCUGGCUUGAAAGAGCUGGGUAAUCCGGUGAAUGUCCUUCGUGAUUGGGAUAGGGACUUGUAAUUAUUUCCCUUGAACGAGGAAUACCUAGUAAGUGCGAGUCAUCAGCUUGCGCUGACUUACGUCCCUGCCCCUUGUACACACCGCCCGUCGCUCCUACCGAUUGAAUGAUCCGAUGAAUAUCAUGGAUUGAGGAUGCAAGUAGGUUAGCCUAUCUUCAUCUUCGAGAAGUGAAGUAAAUCUUAUCAUUUAGAGGAAGGAGAAGUCGUAACA